Molecule: long non-coding RNA, 4839 nt
Filed under: Marmota monax (woodchuck)
Lineage: Eukaryota; Metazoa; Chordata; Mammalia; Rodentia; Sciuridae
Source: RNAcentral
AAUUCAUCCCACUACUAAUGUAGUGAUUUUAUCUUAUUUUAGAGUUUUUGACUUGGUGUAUAAUUUGUCUAUUAUGAGUAUAGCCAUCUCUGCUCUCUUUUGGUUCCAUUUAGGUGAAAUUUUUUUGUCGUUGUUCUUUUACUGUCAUUCUGUGUGUAUACCCUUAAAGGUGAAGUGAGUCUCUUAUAGGAAAUUUUAUAUCCAUUCAGCCAUUGUCUUUUCAUUAGAAAAUGAAAUCCAUAAUAAUUUCAAUGUAGCCUUGUCAAAAUCCAGAAUUCAGUAAAUCUCAAAGCUUUGCCCAACUCUGAAAUUUAUUAACUUGAUUUUUCCUCUCUUCAAAAUAAUUAAACAACAUUAAUUAUGUUGAACAUUUUUUUAUCUCACAAAAAUAGCAGGGUGAUCAGUAGAGAAGUAGGGGAGAAGGAGGGAGGAAGAAAGGAAAAGAGGAAGAACUGGGUAAUAAAAUCGACCACAUUGUGCUAUGUGCAUGUGUGAAUAUACCACAGUGAAUCCCAUUAUAUGUAUAAUUAUAAUGUACUUAUAAAAAUAUAGACAUAAAUAAAUAGAAGGAAGUCCAAAAGAUUAGAAGAAGGGGAUCAAGGUAGCACAGGCAUGGAGGGAAGUGGAAGUAGUGAGGAAUGAAUUGGAACAAAUUAAAUUAUGUGCAUAUAUGAGUAUUUAACAAUGAACCCACUAAUAUGUAUAAUUAUAAAGCACUAAUGGAAAUAUUUUUAAAAAAUUUGCAACAUUAAAUUCAUUACAGUAAAUCAACUUUUCCCUACAGAGUUGUAAUAUUUAAAUACAUAUAGUCCAAUAUAACUCAUUUUAUCUUCUGAAGAUACAAAUACAGCCUUUUACUUUUCUCAGUGUUUCUAAUACUCAUUUGUCACCAUUAGUAUGAAACCCAUUAUUUUCUUAUUUAUCUUCCCCUUGUAUCUCCAGACACCACUGUUUUUCUGAGGAUCAUAGACUGAUCAAAUAAUGGUCUUAUUUGAUUAAGUAAAGUCAUCCAGUAUACAGAGAAAUAGUGAGUCUGAUGAUUUCAGUGACUUCAUUGCUUCUGUUUCUGGCAAACAAUUUCACUUUUGAACAUGGUCCUGCAUCAUCCAUUAUAUUCUCAUCCUUUGCUCUGGCAAUACGCUUAAUGGCCCCAAUCCUGCAAGGCCACACUGGCAACCCAUUUUUAGGUUGUAAUAAGCUUGAAUUCUCAAUCACCAGAUAACUUUUUUUCUCUCUUUGAGACACUAUCAUCAUAGGAAAUUCAGGUGUGAAAGGACCUUGACCACUUUCUGUGAUAGAACCUAUCCUCAGGAACUAACCUGCAUUUUCCUAUCUUGAGCCAGGUUCUCAAAUGCAAACUGCCUCUCCUUCAAUUAAAUUGCCACAGGAGAGUUUCUUGUCUUUCCCUAAUAGGGGAAAUUCGCCAAUCUACUAUGGCAGCAUCUCCCUAUCUUAAAACUCUGAGAGAAGGCACAUUCUUUUGUUCUCAGCACAUCCUGUUCUCAGUAGUGCCUUAGGUUCCUAUGGCAGUCUGACCUCAUCUUCAUCCUGCAUAUUGUAAAGGGAUGGGUAGUUUUAAUAAAGUGAGAAAACAAUUUUAAAAGGAAGUCCUGUUGCAGUGCUUCCUCGAGGUACAUUUAUUUCCCCCAAAAUAGAGAAAAGUUACUUUAAGGAGAGUACUCCAUUUCUAGACAAGGUACACUUUAAAAUAUUUUUCUUUCAAAAAUACGUCAUUAGGCAUUAAAUUCUUCAGCAGGCAAAAUCUAGUUUCUGGGCAAUCUGGUCGGCUUCAUUGAGCUAUACAUCAUAGUAUGUUUUAAUGUUUAGUAAGUUUUAGCAAUAUUUAAUUUUUUUUGCUUGUGACCAAAUCUAAUGCAAUUUAAUUUUUUUUAAAAUUAGGUGAGCGUAUAAAAUACACAGUUAAUAUUCCUAUGUAUUUAAAUGAUAAUCCAGUUUGCUACAGAGUAUUAUGUCUGACUGGAGAGAUACAAUCACCAAAAUUAUUGUUUGAUCCACCAUUUAUAUUUUUUACUCCUGUUCCUUUGGAUGUAACAACUGGGAUGGAUAUCAACAUUUUACCCCAGAACUAUUUCAGGUAAAUUCUUAAUGUGAAUUUAUCAGAUCUUUAUGUGCUAUUUUAUUUGCAUCUGUUAUAUAAGAGAUAUAUGUAAUGUUUCACUUGUUUUUAUAGUUGAAAAGAAGUAUUAAAAUAUUUGUGUAUUAAUAUUUAAAAAUACAAAAUAAUCCUUUAUAGCUAUCUAUAACACUCACUAUAUUUUCUUGUAAAAAUUUUUGAUGUCUCUUUAUGGAAUAAGAAGCUUGAAGUUCCAGCAAGUUAGUUUUAUGUUCCUUUGUGACAAAUUACUACAAACUUGGUGCCUUCAAAAAAAAAUACCUGAGGGGCUGGGAUUAUGGCUCAGUGGCAGAGAAUUUACCUCACACAUGUGAGGCACUGGGUUUGAUCGUCAGCACCACAUAAAAAUAAAUAAACAAAAUAAAGAUAUUUUUAAAAAACCAAACACCUGAUAUCUCACACAACAUGAAUUUAUUAUCUUCCACUUUCUGUGAGUUUAGGAGUCCAGGUUGGCUUAGCUGACUUCUCUAUUCAAUGUUUUAAUCAGCAGAAAUCAAGCUGUUGGCCAAAGCAUCAGUCUCAUCUAGUCUUGCUCUGAUCUAUCAGGUUGUUGGCAGAAUUAAUUUCCUUGUACUUUUAAGACUAGUGUGCCAUUUUUUAACUGGAAACACUCAGCUCUCCAAUUUCAACCUAAAGUUCUAGCCAUGUGGCCAUUACUCACAGCAUACUAGCUAACUCAUCCAAGGACAAAAGUCUAACAUCUAUCAGACUUCUUUGUUUCUGACCUGCAAACCUUUUAAGAUUGUACCUGAUUAAGUCAGAUUUACUAAAAGUCAAUCAUUAGGAACCUUAAUUACACCUGGAAAUUUCCUUUGCCAUUGCCAUAUAAUAUUACCUACUCUCAGAAGUGAUAUCCUAUCGUAUUUAAAGGUCACAUACCCAUUCAAGGGGUACAGUUUACACAAAGUUUGUACACCAAGGUGAAGGCCUCUUGGGGAUUAUCUCAGAUUUCUGCCUGUCACAUUUAGACAGUAUGGUACAAUUCAGUCUGUUGGAUUUACAAAAAGGUCAAAUUUCCAAUAUAGCUGACACUAUAAGUUACACUCAGCAGAAAUAACCAGCAUGAGGUUUAGAUCCCUAAGCAAUCCAGGUAUUGGAAUUAUCUGAAAUUCCAAUAUUCCAAUUAUUAAUUGGUUUGAAAACUAAUCCAACAAAGCUUUUAGAAAUUUUAAAAAGGUUUGCAGGAUAAAAUUUUAAGGGCAUCUGCUAAUACUAAGAGUGUACAUAGCUAACAAAACAGUACAGAAACAAACUAAUGAACAAUACCUCAGUUAACUUUAAAAAUGAAAGGGAGAAAAAAGAAUAAUAAAAACAGCAGGAGAAAAUUAAACCAAAAAUUAUAGAACAUCUCUAAAUAGAGAAACUAUAAUAAAAUGUAAAUGAACUACUCUGAGUAAAGGGUAAUGUUCAAGUAUAUUAGAAAAAUACCCAACUGCUUAUUAAAAGAGGUGUAGAUGAAGCAGAGGGACAAAGGAAAAAACAUAAAGCCAGAAUUUCUCACCCUCAGAACCGUUGACAUUUAAGGGAGGAUAAUUCUUUUUUUAAUUUUAUGGAACCCUAUCCUGUGCAUUAUAGAAUGCUUAGCAAUAUGUUUAGUCUCUUCUCAAUAGCAUCUUUCCCACAUUGUGGCAAAAAAAAAAUCUCAACCCAUUGCUUUGUGUCCCCAAGGGGAGUAAAACCACCCUCAGUUGAGAAACACUAUAGGGAAAUGAGGGAAAAAAUAUAAGGUCAUAACCAAAAUACAUCUGGGAAGCAGUAUUAAUUUCACAUGCAAAGAACUUUAAUAAGCACAUUUUUAAUAUAAUCAAAGUCACUAAUGAAUUAUAAAAGUUACAGUUCACAUAGAAGCAAUCAGAAUUCUAAAAUUGUAUGCAUAAUUAAAAUAGUCUUAAAAUAAAUAAACCCUGAGUUUAAAUAACAGUGAAAGUUAAAUAGACCUUAAUCAUUGUAGGAUAUUCCAAACCAUAUCUCAAAUAUUGAUGGGUCUAGAAGGCAAAAUAUUUGAACAAGAUACUUAACAAGCUUCAUUAUUUUACCAUGUAUAAAGUACUAAACUUUACAACUAGAUAGUAUACAUUUUUCUACGUCAAACAUGGACAAUUUUAAAAAUUGACAGGGUAUGAUUCUAUAGUUAUAGGGUAAGCCUCAAAAAUUUUAGACUUAACGUUUUGUAGGCUAUGUUCUCUGAUACUAAGUAUAAUAAAUUAAAAGCAAAUGAAGAUUAAGAUCCCCCAUAAGUAAGGAAAUGUUAAAACAAACUUCUAUAGGGAGUCAAUGAAAAAACCGUAUUGAAUUAUACAAAUAUAUAACAAUCAAAAUGCUACAUAUCAGUAAAGUAUAUAAUAUAAAUAUUUGUCAUUUCAAUUUUUGGGAUGAUUUAAAAAACAAAGCAAUACAUAUUUAAGUCUAAUUCCUCGCUGGUAUUUUGAGCUAAUUUUUUUUCCUUUUUCAUUUUAAACAGAAGUUCAACUCUAAAUUUCCAGAUUCCUUCAGCAAGGCUUCUUGACAAUGAUGAGAUUCACCCUCUUUCUGUGAUGUUUCCAAAAGGCAGAAUCAUCACAGGAUCCAACAAUGGAAUUAAUAAUGAGCUGUUUUGCCACCUCAGUUUCAAAUCAUCUAAACCAGUGUCAUUUUUCACCAACCUUCUUUUCUAUGAUGAUAGAGAUAACUGGUAAGAUAUUUAAAUGUAGAUACUUUUAUACUUA